This 65-nucleotide transfer RNA is filed under the name Apatides fortis. RNAcentral's name for it is "tRNA-His". Lineage: Eukaryota; Metazoa; Arthropoda; Insecta; Coleoptera; Bostrichidae. The record is from RNAcentral.
AUUUAAAUAGUUUAAUGAAAAUUUUAGUUUGUGGUACUAAAGAUGCAGUAGUUUUGCUUUAAAUU